RNAcentral lists this unclassified non-coding RNA (337 nucleotides) under soil metagenome. Its description in RNAcentral is "partial contains 5.8S ribosomal RNA, internal transcribed spacer 2, and large subunit ribosomal RNA". The stretch from base 1 to 120 matches the Rfam family "5.8S ribosomal RNA", at positions 35 to 154 of the family's 154-position model. The record is from RNAcentral.
GAUGAAGAACGUAGCGAAAUGCGAUACGUAAUGUGAAUUGCAGAAUUCAGUGAAUCAUCGAAUCUUUGAACGCACAUUGCGCCCCCUGGCAUUCCGGGGGGCAUGCCUGUCCGAGCGUCAUUUCUGCCCUCAAGCACGGCUUGUGUGUUGGGUGUGGUCCCCCCGGGGACCUGCCCGAAAGGCAGCGGCGACGUCCGUCUGGUCCUCGAGCGUAUGGGGCUCUGUCACUCGCUCGGGAAGGACCUGCGGGGGUUGGUCACCACUAUAUUUUACCACGGUUGACCUCGGAUCAGGUAGGAGUUACCCGCUGAACUUAAGCAUAUCAAUAAGCGGAAGA